Long non-coding RNA from Leptinotarsa decemlineata (Colorado potato beetle), 683 nucleotides. RefSeq lists it as uncharacterized. The record is from RefSeq and is a predicted model, not a curated record. Lineage: Eukaryota; Metazoa; Arthropoda; Insecta; Coleoptera; Chrysomelidae.
UGGCUGACAUUGCACACACAUUACGGUACACGAUUGCCGUAAUCCAGUUUGCAAUCAACAAUCAUUGCCAAUAGAAGUUCACUGAGAAUUGUAUUGCAUAUUGAUAACGAGCCAUUGCUGCAUCAUUAUUUGCGCAUUGUGUACGAUGUUUUCCACCGCAGACGCAGAAUGUUUCCAUUUUCUGAAGAUAUCAGUAGUGUGUAGACGCUGCAGGCAUUUUGAAAAUACCAAUGUCCAUGGUGGACUGUUAUGUUAGGAUUUGGUCACCAAAAAAUAGGGAGCAACAGUGUUUUCAUCACUUAUUUUCAAUGUUGAAGUUAUUUUCAAGCAUUUCAAAAUAGGGCUACGAAUUUUCCACGAAAAAUGUACUGUUUUUAGAUAAUUUUACGAUGAAAUUUUCAAUUAUAUUGUUUGAAGAAUAAGAACCAACAUUCAACGAGCAUUUACACCAUUUUUUUUUAAUCUAUAAGCUUUAUUUUUGCUACAAAUUAUUUAUUCAAUGAAAUGUUUGUUGAGUUCCUGACACUUUCACCCGCGAAUAUGUCGAAAAGUUCAUGGAAAAAAAAUUGCCUAGAAUCAGUCAAUCUAUCAAUUUCCUGACUUAUUUUCAACGAACCAUUUUUGAUUCUUGGUACAGAGUAAACUUAAAAGUGGAAGUUGAUUAAAAUUUUUAUGCUAAUCGA